RNAcentral lists this ribosomal RNA (253 nucleotides) under uncultured bacterium. RNAcentral describes it as "partial 16S ribosomal RNA". It matches the Rfam family "Bacterial small subunit ribosomal RNA", at positions 524 to 776 of the family's 1533-position model. The record is from RNAcentral.
UACGUAGGUAGCAAGCGUUGUUCGGAUUUACUGGGCGUAAAGGGCGCGUAGGCGGCGCGGUAAGUCACUUGUGAAAUCUCUGAGCCUAACUCAGAACGGCCAAGUGAUACUGCUGUGCUAGAGUGCGGAAGAGGCAACCGGAAUUCUUGGUGUAGCGGUGAAAUGCGUAGAUAUCAAGAUGAACACCUGAGGCGAAGGCGGGUUGCUGGGCCGACACUGACGCUGAUGCGCGAAAGCCAGGGGAGCAAACGGG